GACGAACGCUGGCGGCGUGCUUAACACAUGCAAGUCGAACGGUGAACGAGGGAGCUUGCUCCCUCCGGAUCAGUGGCGAACGGGUGAGUAACACGUGAGCAAUCUGCCCCGAACUCUGGGAUAAGCGUUGGAAAGGACGUCUAAUACCGGAUACGCCCCGGGUGGGCAUCCUCUCCGCGUGGAAAGAACUUCGGUUCGGGAUGGGCUCGCGGCCUAUCAGCUUGUUGGUGAGGUAGCGGCUCACCAAGGCGACGACGGGUAGCCGGCCUGAGAGGGUGACCGGCCACACUGGGACUGAGACACGGCCCAGACUCCUACGGGAGGCAGCAGUGGGGAAUAUUGCACAAUGGGCGCAAGCCUGAUGCAGCAACGCCGCGUGAGGGACGACGGCCUUCGGGUUGUAAACCUCUUUUAGCAGGGAAGAAGCGAAAGUGACGGUACCUGCAGAAAAAGCACCGGCUAACUACGUG
RNAcentral lists this ribosomal RNA (470 nucleotides) under uncultured bacterium. Its description in RNAcentral is "partial 16S ribosomal RNA". It matches the Rfam family "Bacterial small subunit ribosomal RNA", at positions 28 to 507 of the family's 1533-position model. The record is from RNAcentral.